AGAGGAUCAGCCUGAGCAAAGGGCAAGUGGUGGAAGAGCCGUGGCUCUGGGCCCUUCGGUGGCUGUUGGUUGUGGACGAGCUUAUGGGUAUCUGGGAACACCCUGACUCUGUCCCAGUUUUCUCUCCCUUUGGAGUUCCUGGGGUGGGUUAUGAUCUGCUGCAAUGCUUUUCCUGGUCUUCGUUCCCUGCUUAUGUUUGUUCUGAAAGCUUGCCCAUCCUUGCCAGUGGAUUUGCCAUGUCUAAACAACAGGACAGAAGAAGAGACUCUGAAAUGGUGCUAAUCAGGGCAUUUUACAGACAGGAGUCAGUAAAAUUAUUUGAAUGUAUUCAAUCUGCUGAAGCUGAAGCUCCGAUACUUUGGCCACCUGAUUUGAAGAGCUGACUUACUAGAAAAGACCUGACUCAUUGGAAAAGACCCUGAUGCUGGGAAAGAUUGAAGACGAAAGAAGUAGGCUGCAGAAGAUGAGAUGGUUGGAUGGCAUCACUGACUCAGUGGACAUGAAUCUGAGCAAACUCCUGGAGACAGUGAAGAACAGGAAAGCCUGGCAUGCUGAUACCCAUAGGGUCGCAAAGAGUUGGACCUGACUGAACAACAAUAACAAAUUCAGUCUGCCAUCAUAACCUUUAUAUAGGUACUUUAUUAUGUUCUUCUUAAGGCUAUUUUUUAUAAUGAUUUUAUCUUGGUUUAUCAUUAUAUUAAUAAUAUUAUUUUCUUUAAUCAUUUCACAUAUGCUGAUUUUCUAACUUUUUCACAUUAUAGAAACCCUCAAAUUGCUGAAGUAAGACUUUUUAUCAAGGUGAAACUAUUUUCCUCUGUGGUUUGUAUUUUUUUUUUUUGACUGUGAGCCUUUCUCAUCAUUCAACACACCUCUUCCCCACCCGCAUUCCUGUGGGAAUUGUAUGUCUUGUUCAUGGCAGAAAUGUUGGAUAAUAGUCUGGCAUUUCCAUCUGUAUCUCACCUGCUCCACAUGAAGUUAUGUUAAUUUCCUAGCUUGAGGCUUCUUGCAUUUCAUAAAUCAUGUAAAUUCUGAUUCAGUAUGCUUGUGUUUUGGAGGCAUGGAUCUUAUUUUCUCAUGGUAGAAUUACUUGCAUUCAGAGAGCUUCCUUAUGGGUUGACCAGGCUGCUAGUGCUUCUUGCACUGAGAGGGCUGUUCUUCUAGGCUCCUGGAUAUAGGCAGGGUAGCCUAUAGUUUCAGUUGCUACUUUGUAAGGACUCAAUCUUGUGUCUCAGAUUAACUUUCCCAGAGCAAUGCUGAGGUGAAGAUCCAUGGUAAAGUAAUUUAUUAGCAGGUGUUCCCAGAAAAGAUAGGGGUUUGGAAAAACAAGACUGGAAAAGGAAUUUUGUCAGGCAAGGGCAUAGUAUCAAGCAGAGUCCCAGCCAG
RNAcentral lists this long non-coding RNA (1383 nucleotides) under Bos indicus x Bos taurus (hybrid cattle). RNAcentral's name for it is "lncRNA (ENSBIXG00000015765.1)". Lineage: Eukaryota; Metazoa; Chordata; Mammalia; Artiodactyla; Bovidae. The record is from RNAcentral.